Molecule: long non-coding RNA, 1043 nt
Filed under: Hordeum vulgare
Lineage: Eukaryota; Viridiplantae; Streptophyta; Magnoliopsida; Poales; Poaceae
Description: long non-coding RNA (HVUL_LNC019149)
Source: RNAcentral
UGGGGAGAAGGGCGACAAGACUGGUGGGUGGAAUUUGCCCAGUCCUUUCCCCCCGCCUAUUUAACAGGGCAGGCGCUGGAAUCGAGGCACCACGAGCGGGAACCACCAAAAGAUUAAGAUUCGACAUGAUGGUGCUCCGAAAAUUUUGGGAUAACGAUACCGAAGGAUCCAUUGGGAUUGCGUCAUUAUGUUUUCCGGAAUUCAAGGAAUAAGAAGGUACCAACGAGAAAUGGUCUGGCGACUUAAGUUUUUCCGCGACAGAUGGCGGUUUAAGUUCAUGGCGUAUAAAAGAGGAUGAAAAAUGAAUCGCCCUUAAUUGAGUAAGAAUAUUGGCGUGAAGAAAAGUCAAGUCAAUCUGGGGCCUAAUGUUGGGGAUAUUAUCUAUUCAUAACCCGUCCUAGUUGGGCCGGGUCACCAAAUUUGGCGAUUCAUCUAAGCAUGGUUCGGGUCUUGGCCUGGCAAGACCGAAGGUUGUAUGGCGGUUUACAACCGUCGGAAGGUUUCCAAGCUUUGGAAAGAUGUAGACUUAGAGAUCGUAAGAGUCACGGUUUGUAGAAAGAAAAGUACCCUUGUAAACCCUAGGGACUCGACCUGUAUAUAAAGGCGAGUCCCAGGAAAGAAGAGGGCAGGUUAGAAAUCAUCGAGUGCUAGGUCUGGCGAGUUACGCCCUCCUUAUAAUCGAAACUUCAUCAAUACAACUCAAAGCAGGACGUAGGCCUUUACCUCCCCAUGAGGGGCCGAACCUGGGUAAAUCACCGUCUCACUCCUGUUCAACCCCUUUGAGUCGCCACCAAAGUGUGAUGGCUACAAUACUAAGUCCUUUCAUGAGGACAUCUGCCGUGACAAAACCACGACAGCAUCAAAGUAGACAUCACAUAGGAUAAUCCCACGAAGGAAUCACAUGCAAUAGAUCUAUGGAUUAAUUGCAAUCAUCCACCCAAGAUUAAAUAAAAUGAUAGUUUAGACGUAUUCAUGAAGCACUUCCAAAAGAGAUUUGAGCAUGUAGAUGCAACCUAUUAUGCAUGCAAAGGACACAAUCAUGU